UACGUAGGGUGCGAGCGUUAAUCGGAAUUACUGGGCGUAAAGCGUGCGCAGGCGGUUUUGUAAGUCAGAUGUGAAAUCCCCGGGCUCAACCUGGGAACUGCGUUUGAAACUACAAGGCUAGAGUGUAGCAGAGGGGGGUAGAAUUCCACGUGUAGCAGUGAAAUGCGUAGAGAUGUGGAGGAAUACCAAUGGCGAAGGCAGCCCCCUGGGUUAACACUGACGCUCAGGCACGAAAGCGUGGGGAGCAAACAGG
RNAcentral lists this ribosomal RNA (253 nucleotides) under uncultured bacterium. RNAcentral's name for it is "partial 16S ribosomal RNA". It matches the Rfam family "Bacterial small subunit ribosomal RNA", at positions 524 to 776 of the family's 1533-position model. The record is from RNAcentral.